This is a long non-coding RNA of Solea senegalensis (Senegalese sole), 367 nucleotides long. RefSeq lists it as uncharacterized. Lineage: Eukaryota; Metazoa; Chordata; Actinopteri; Pleuronectiformes; Soleidae. The transcript is spliced from 3 exons. The record is from RefSeq and is a predicted model, not a curated record.
UCUCUCUUCCUUCAGCGGCGUUACCCUGUCAGGUUUAGCACCAAUGUUUCGAAGAGAAACCGCAUAAACGAGCCGCAAAACGAAAAAAGACGCGAAAAGGAUGACGCUGUCUAAGUACAGAAACUGUUCCUAAAGGAGGGAACUUUAAAAAUAGAAUACAAAACUACCCGCGUGACGUCAGACGCCGAAAAGUGGCCACGUGCAGCUGCUCGUAUAUAUAAAUGCAGCAAGGUGAUUUAAGAUGAUUGGUUUGACCUGGUCCAGAUUGAGGACUCCUCCAGAAUGGAACAAACUUCUGCUACCUGCUCGUGGAUACCUGGUCGGACAUUAAAGAAACAGGUUGAUCUUCAUGAAGAUCUUCAAACAG